CAACGCUCAUCCCCAGAUCUGUUACAAGUCCUCCGGCGAGCUGAGCACCGGGGUCCUUUUCUUACGCGUGUGUUGCUAUUGUCCACACUUCUCAGGUGCGGUGGCCAUGCCAGGGUCACCAUUGGACUGCGGACUAGGCCUUCCUGUCCUUGGAUGCAUGGAGGUUGGCCGGGUCCCCAGAGGAAGUGUGGUCCCCUGUGGGCACGCUGCGGACAUCGGAUUGUGAAGACGUGGUGGCCACGCCAGGCUCGCCGUCGGCCUUCAAGACUAGGCCUUCCUGUCCUUGGAUGUGUGGAGGUUGGCCGGGUCCCAGAGAAGUGUGGUCCCGGGUGGGCACGCUGUGGACGUCGGAUCACGAAGACGGUGUGGUGGCCACGCCAGGCUCACCGUCAGCCUGCAGGACUAGAACUUCCUGUCCUUGGAUGUGUGGAGGUUUGCCGAGUACCCAGAAGAAGUGUGGUCCCGUGUGGGCAGGCUGCAGACAUCGGAUCGUAG
RNAcentral lists this long non-coding RNA (495 nucleotides) under Ursus americanus (American black bear). Its description in RNAcentral is "lncRNA (ENSUAMG00000016269.1)". Lineage: Eukaryota; Metazoa; Chordata; Mammalia; Carnivora; Ursidae. The record is from RNAcentral.